Molecule: ribosomal RNA, 264 nt
Filed under: uncultured archaeon
Lineage: Archaea
Description: partial 16S ribosomal RNA
Rfam family: Archaeal small subunit ribosomal RNA
Source: RNAcentral
AGUCACUGACAUUAGAUACCCGCGUAGUCCAGGGUGUAAACGCUGCCGACUUGGUGUUGGAGGCCCUUCGGGGGCAUUCAGUGCCGGAGAGAAGUUGUUAAGUCGGCCACUUGGGGAGUACGUCCGCAAGGAUGAAACUUAAAGGAAUUGGCGGGGAGCACCGCAACGGGAGGAGCGUGCGGUUUAAUUGGAUUCAACACCGGAAAACUCACCAAGGGCGACUGUUACAUGAAAGCCAGGCUAAUGACCUUGCUUGAUUUUCAG